Molecule: non-coding RNA, 155 nt
Filed under: Thermoleophilaceae bacterium
Lineage: Bacteria; Bacillati; Actinomycetota; Thermoleophilia; Thermoleophilales; Thermoleophilaceae
Description: 6S RNA
Rfam family: 6S / SsrS RNA
About the family: E. coli 6S RNA was the first non coding RNA to be sequenced, but its function was unknown until recently.
Source: RNAcentral
CUGGCUCUAGCUUGUGCGUCAGCCGUCCCUUUCGUUGAGCCAACACGACUGGGAUGGGGGUCCGGCUCGGGGCGGGUCUUGGCUCGUCCCGGAGGACCCCCGAACUUGCAAGAGCAGGUUCAACUCCCGGACGGCAGCGGCAAGCUGGGGCCGUC